Patella vulgata (common limpet) is the source of this 400-nucleotide long non-coding RNA. RefSeq lists it as uncharacterized. The record is from RefSeq and is a predicted model, not a curated record. NCBI's taxonomy places the organism in Eukaryota, Metazoa, Mollusca, Gastropoda, Patellidae. The transcript has 3 exons.
GAAAGGCAAGAGAUUUAAUCGAUCGUUUAUUUGGACCGAAAUGUCACAAACAAUUUCCAAAGACAUAUCGCACACCAGACAAUAUGUGCAGUGGUUCUGGUACUUACCCAUCUAGUUUAGGGAAAGGCCGAGAAUAUAGUAUAGAUGGCGUGGACGUUCUCAUACAACGAGGACAAUCAGUUGUGGCACCUUUUCCAGGACAUAUUCGAUUGUCACCCAAUAAUAGCAAUGAAGUUAUACUCAAGCCUACAGGAGGGUCUUUGAAAGACAUUGAAAUUAUUAUAACCAACGUAAAUCCACUUGCAGAAAUCGAGGCAGAGGAAACACUGAUUCAAGCAGGUUCUGAAAUAGGUAAGGCGAGUGGUGCAGUUUGCGAGAAAAACAACGACCACAUCCAUUU